UAAUGGACUUGAAGAUGUUGAAAAUAAUAAUGCAAUAUGACAAAACAGCAGUUUACUCAAGGAAUGGAGACGCAUGGAUUCACUUAUCUCACACGUGGGAAAGUAUCAACAUCCUACAUUAAUGGACUGGAGGAGGUCGAGAAUAUUGCAGGUUUAAUGCAGUCUACGUAUAAUAGUUACUCAAAGUAAUUAAAAUCAAUUGAUAGAAGUGCAUCAAAAAGAUGGUGUCAUGAAACCCUGACCAUUACAUUAAAAGGCAGUACGGCAGAUCACUCAAGUCACGCUGAUACAUGAAUUCACAUUUCUCACGCGUGGGAUAGUAUCAACAGCCUACGUUGCAAAUGGACUAGAAGAUGCUGAGAAUAAUACGUGUUAUAUGCAAUAUGGCAGUACGGCAGUUCACUUAAGGAAUUCUGACGCAUGGAUUCACUUAUCUCACACGUGGGAAAGUAUCAACAUCCUAUGUUGCAAAUGGACUAGAAGAUGCUGAGAAUAAUACGUGUUA
RNA transcript from Rhopalosiphum maidis (corn leaf aphid), 505 nucleotides. RefSeq lists it as uncharacterized. The transcript is spliced from 4 exons. Lineage: Eukaryota; Metazoa; Arthropoda; Insecta; Hemiptera; Aphididae. The record is from RefSeq and is a predicted model, not a curated record.